RNAcentral lists this ribosomal RNA (325 nucleotides) under uncultured eukaryote. RNAcentral describes it as "partial 18S ribosomal RNA". It matches the Rfam family "Eukaryotic small subunit ribosomal RNA", at positions 1470 to 1796 of the family's 1831-position model. The record is from RNAcentral.
CCCUUAGAUGUUCUGGGCCGCACGCGCGCUACACUGAUGCAUUCAACGAGCCUAUCCUUGACCGACAGGUCCGGGUAAUCUUUGAAUCUGCAUCGUGACGGGGAUAGAUUAUUGCAAUUAUUAAUCUUCAACGAGGAAUGCCUAGUAGGCGCAAGUCAUCAGCUUGCGUCGAUUACGUCCCUGCCCUUUGUACACACCGCCCGUCGCUCCUACCGAUUGGGUGUGCUGGUGAAAUGUUCGGAUCGGCCGUUUGUCGCGGUUUCCACGGCUCGUGGCUGAGAAGUUCAUUAAACCCUCCCACCUAGAGGAAGGAGAAGUCGUAACA